GUACGUGACGCAUAUUGCUUAAGCUUGUGAAGUUUGUGUCUACAAGAGGUCAGGAGGAUGUUCAAGAUCGACUGUUGGAGGCGUGACAAUGCAGUGUAGUCCGUGUCUAUUAGAUUUAUAUUUCUUAUCUUUAUUAGGAUUUAGAUUUGUUAAACUAUUUAAAUUUGGCAUACUUCUCAGUCAUCAUUGACUUGAGCUAUUUUGGUUCCGCCGCGAUAUUGACCACCGAGGUCUAGUAUUUUUAUUUUGUUGGAUGUUUUGCUACUUUCUUUUGAGAUUGACCAUUAAGGUCUUUAAUUAUUUGAUAGUAUGAAACCGUAGUUUUCUGGA
Molecule: long non-coding RNA, 330 nt
Organism: Tripterygium wilfordii
Lineage: Eukaryota; Viridiplantae; Streptophyta; Magnoliopsida; Celastrales; Celastraceae
Exons: 2
Source: RefSeq, a predicted model, not a curated record